Molecule: ribosomal RNA, 557 nt
Filed under: uncultured bacterium
Lineage: Bacteria
Description: bacterial SSU rRNA
Rfam family: Bacterial small subunit ribosomal RNA
Source: RNAcentral
ACGGGUGCGUAACGCGUGGGAAUCUGCCCUUAGGUUCGGAAUAACAGCUGGAAACGGCUGCUGAUACCGGGUGAUAUCGCGAGAUCAAAGAUUUAUCGCCUGAGGAUGAGCCCGCGUUGGAUUAGGUAGUUGGUGGGGUAAAGGCCUACCAAGCCGACGAUCCAUAGCUGGUCUGAGAGGAUGAUCAGCCACACUGGGACUGAGACACGGCCCAGACUCCUACGGGAGGCAGCAGUGGGGAAUAUUGGACAAUGGGCGCAAGCCUGAUCCAGCAAUGCCGCGUGAGUGAUGAAGGCCCUAGGGUUGUAAAGCUCUUUUACCCGGGAAGAUAAUGACUGUACCGGGAGAAUAAGCCCCGGCUAACUCCGUGCCAGCAGCCGCGGUAAUACGGAGGGGGCUAGCGUUGUUCGGAAUUACUGGGCGUAAAGCGCACGUAGGCGGCUUUGUAAGUCAGAGGUGAAAGCCUGGAGCUCAACUCCAGAACUGCCUUUGAGACUGCAUCGCUUGAAUCCAGGAGAGGUCAGUGGAAUUCCGAGUGUAGAGGUGAAAUUCGUAGA